This 253-nucleotide ribosomal RNA is filed under the name uncultured bacterium. RNAcentral's name for it is "partial 16S ribosomal RNA". It matches the Rfam family "Bacterial small subunit ribosomal RNA", at positions 524 to 776 of the family's 1533-position model. The record is from RNAcentral.
UACGUAGGGGGCGAGCGUUAUCCGGAUUUACUGGGUGUAAAGGGGGCGCAGACGGCAGCGCAAGCCAGGAGUGAAAGCCCGGGGCCCAACCCCGGGACUGCUCUUGGAACUGCGCGGCUGGAGUGCAGGAGGGGCAGGCGGAAUUCCUGGUGUAGCGGUGAAAUGCGUAGAUAUCAGGAGGAACACCGGUGGCGAAGGCGGCCUGCUGGACUGCGACUGACGUUGAGGCCCGAAAGCGUGGGGAGCAAACAGG